Long non-coding RNA from Carassius auratus (goldfish), 266 nucleotides. RefSeq lists it as uncharacterized. The transcript is spliced from 3 exons. Lineage: Eukaryota; Metazoa; Chordata; Actinopteri; Cypriniformes; Cyprinidae. The record is from RefSeq and is a predicted model, not a curated record.
CACCAUGCUUCUCUUCACCUGCUAGUAUCUUGUCUGCUUUUUGAUAAGCAAAUGUUGCUAUCUUCUAAUUCUGAACACAUCAGAAAUCACCAACCCCUCCUGAUAUAUCUUUCCAGUUUGGGCAAAAAAUGAAUGUAUAUGCCAAAGUAGAAUUCAUCAACUUUAGCCGUGAUCUCUGUGAUCAGCUCAUCAUCUCUCCAUACCCUCUCCACAUGGAUGUCACCUCUUGUACUUGUCACAAGAUCACACCAGGUUAACUAAGCCAG